UCCAAUGCACAACACUCUAGCUUUAGUAUUUUGUCUGAUCUCUGAAGCUAAGCAGGGUUGGGCCUGGGCAGCACGUGGAUGGGAGACCUCUGAGAAUACAAUAGGGCUAUGAUGGGG
Molecule: ribosomal RNA, 117 nt
Filed under: Periophthalmus magnuspinnatus
Lineage: Eukaryota; Metazoa; Chordata; Actinopteri; Gobiiformes; Gobiidae
Source: RNAcentral